CAACAGAGCCUCGUCCAUAAGUGCUGGUGACCAUCCUUGUCCACUCAAGCACAGAGCUUGCCUGAGAAUGAAGAUCAAAGCAAAAGAAAGCCAAGAGUCAAACGAUGCAGAAAAAGAGAGUUUGAGUGACACCAUUUGAACAUCUGAAUCUAGUUAUGUGAAUCACCCACAGCUGGUGUAUUCCUUGAACGACAGCCUGAUGUUACCAUGCGGAGUGAAGCGUGAUUUGCUGCCUGCUCUCAAUGUGUGCAGUCCUGCCUCGUGGACACCUCAAAGUCUCCUUGCAGGGACGGUCCAGAGAAGGCUGCACCUCUCCACGCAGAGUCUAUGGAAAUGACGUCAUUCUCAGAGCAUGUCAUCCAGAGGUACGGAUGUCCAUUUGAUCAUUUUGUCAAGGGUUGAGUGACCAUCACCAUUAUCUGAUUGGAGAAUAUUUUCAUCAUCACAAAAAGAAAACGCAUACCCUUUAGCAGUCACUUCUCCCCUCACCCAGCCCUUGGUAACCACCAAACUACUUUCUUUAGAGAUUUGCCUGUAACAUACAUUUCAUAUUGAUGGACUCCCACCUUGAUUGUCUGUGACUGGCUUCUUUCAUGUGGCAUAAUAUUUUCAAGGUUUUUCAUGUGGUAACAUGUAUAUCCUGAUUUCCUUUCU
Molecule: long non-coding RNA, 654 nt
Organism: Phacochoerus africanus (Common warthog)
Lineage: Eukaryota; Metazoa; Chordata; Mammalia; Artiodactyla; Suidae
Exons: 4
Source: RefSeq, a predicted model, not a curated record